RNAcentral lists this ribosomal RNA (463 nucleotides) under uncultured bacterium. Its description in RNAcentral is "partial 16S ribosomal RNA". It matches the Rfam family "Bacterial small subunit ribosomal RNA", at positions 28 to 507 of the family's 1533-position model. The record is from RNAcentral.
GACGAACGCUGGCGGCGUGCUUAACACAUGCAAGUCGAACGGAAAGGCCUUUUCGGUGGUUCUCGAGUGGCGAACGGGUGAGUAACACGUGGGUGAUCUGCCCUGCACUCUGGGAUAAGCCUGGGAAACUGGGUCUAAUACCGGAUAGGACCGCACUUUAGUGCGUGUGGUGGAAAGUUUUUUCGGUGUAGGAUGAGCCCGCGGCCUAUCAGCUUGUUGGUGGGGUAAUGGCCUACCAAGGCGGCGACGGGUAGCCGGACUGAGAGGUUGGUCGGCCACAUUGGGACUGAGGUAAGGCCCAGACUCCUACGGGAGGCAGCAGGGGGGAAUAUUGCACAAUGGGCGCAAGCCUGAUGCAGCGACGCCGCGUGGGGGAUGACGGCCUUCGGGUUGUAAACUCCUUUCGCCAGGGACGAAGCGUUUUGUGACGGUACCUGGAGAAGAAGCACCGGCUAACUACGUG